Molecule: non-coding RNA, 95 nt
Organism: Podarcis lilfordi (Lilford's wall lizard)
Lineage: Eukaryota; Metazoa; Chordata; Lepidosauria; Squamata; Lacertidae
Source: the annotation of a GenBank genome assembly
GGGAGGCUGCGCAAGGCUAAAGAGGAAGCCCGGGCAGCGAGCGCGAUCCAUCCCGCUCGCUGCCCGGGCUUCCUCUUUAGCUUUGCGCGCCUCUC